UGACUUUCUUAACCUUUUUUGUCGUUACCAAAAAAUAGGGAGAAAUUAAAGAAAAGGAGAAACAAAAGAAAAAUAAGAAACAAAAAUAUUAAAACAUUUAUUGUUUUUCAAUUUUCCUAUUUGGGUUUUUAAUAUUGUUUGUAGUACUUUGUUAUUGGGUGUUACUCCCUCCACCACCCCAAGUGCUCCUGCACCUCUCCACCGACUAUUUUCUUUUAUUCCAAAAAUACUCUACACCUCCCCACUAUUUUCUUUUUUUCCAAAAACACCCUAAAUCUCCCCAUG
RNAcentral lists this long non-coding RNA (285 nucleotides) under Vigna radiata. RNAcentral's name for it is "long non-coding RNA (VRAD_LNC007990)". Lineage: Eukaryota; Viridiplantae; Streptophyta; Magnoliopsida; Fabales; Fabaceae. The record is from RNAcentral.